GAGACACCCCUAUGGAGCAGAACUUGCCUCAGUGGGGCUUCAGUGCUCACUGAGUUUGCCCCUUGAGUAUGUUGCU
Molecule: microRNA precursor, 76 nt
Filed under: Myotis davidii
Lineage: Eukaryota; Metazoa; Chordata; Mammalia; Chiroptera; Vespertilionidae
Description: mir-9229 microRNA precursor family
Rfam family: mir-9229 microRNA precursor family
Source: Rfam by way of RNAcentral